AUGGCUUCCGCCUUCAGCGGCGAUGAGACCGCCCCCUUCUUCAGUUUCCUUGGUGCCACUGCGGCCCUCGUCUUCUCCUGCAUGGGGGCGGCGUACGAGAAGGCCAAGAGCGGGGUGGGGUGGCGCGAUGGGGGUUAUGCGGCCAGAGCAGGUGAUGAAGUCCAUCGCGCCCGUCGUCAUGGCUGUGGUGCUCGGGAUCAACAGCCUCAUCAUAUCCACCGCAUCAACCCCAAGACCAAGCCCUACUUCCUCUUCGACGGCUACGUGCACCUCUCCUCCAGCCUUGCCUGCGGCCUCGCGGGACUCGCCGCCGAAAUAAAUGGGCUA
Molecule: ribosomal RNA, 327 nt
Filed under: Triticum aestivum (bread wheat)
Lineage: Eukaryota; Viridiplantae; Streptophyta; Magnoliopsida; Poales; Poaceae
Description: partial small subunit ribosomal RNA
Source: RNAcentral